This 253-nucleotide ribosomal RNA is filed under the name uncultured bacterium. Its description in RNAcentral is "partial 16S ribosomal RNA". It matches the Rfam family "Bacterial small subunit ribosomal RNA", at positions 524 to 776 of the family's 1533-position model. The record is from RNAcentral.
UACGGGGGGGGCGAGCGUUGUUCGGAAUUACUGGGCGUAAAGGGCGCGUAGGCGGUUUGUUAAGUUGGGUGUGAAAACUCUGGGCUUAACCCAGAGCCUGCAUUCAAAACUGACAGGCUUGAGUUCUGGAGGGGAUAGCGGAAUUCCUGGUGUAGCGGUGAAAUGCGUAGAUAUCAGGAGGAACACCGGUGGCGAAGGCGGCUAUCUGGACAGAAACUGACGCUGAGGCGCGAAAGCUAGGGGAGCAAACAGG